Molecule: unclassified non-coding RNA, 705 nt
Filed under: Bradyrhizobium sp.
Lineage: Bacteria; Pseudomonadati; Pseudomonadota; Alphaproteobacteria; Hyphomicrobiales; Nitrobacteraceae
Description: partial 16S-23S ribosomal RNA intergenic spacer region
Rfam family: Bacterial large subunit ribosomal RNA (bases 590-705)
Source: RNAcentral
GUUAGAGCGCGCGCUUGAUAAGCGUGAGGUCGGAAGUUCAAGUCUUCCCAGGCCCACCACACUCAUCGAGUGAGCAUUCGUCUUCUGGUUACGGGGCCAUAGCUCAGCUGGGAGAGCGCGUGCUUUGCAAGCAUGAGGUCGUCGGUUCGAUCCCGUCUGGCUCCACCAGAUGGUUUGAUCACCGACUACUCAUACCGUCGUCCGCGAAACAUCACUUCGCACUUACUAGUCCGGAUGGACAGUAAGCUGCGUGAUUUCUGACAUCGUAAAGAGGAGAUCGAUCCGAGUUGGAUCGGGCAACAAGCAAUUGUUGCGCGAUACUUCAUUAUCUCCGGAUCAUUUCGGCGCUCGUGCGUCUUCCAGGGUAGCUCACAAGGCUGCAUCUGAAAGACAAGCGAGUUGUAAAUGAUCCUUUUAGCGAAGCUUGACCGCCUCGCUAUCGGAACGAUCUUACGAAGCAAGCUGGUCUUUCUAAUCAUUGUCCGGCUGCAGAUAGCGUUCAUCGAGGGCGCGUGCCUUAGAGACUUAGGUUUCUUGGUAAUUCUGCAGACAACAUUCUGCCGAGUGUGUGGACAUUGAUAAUGAGAGCAAUCAAGUGCCUUAAGGGUGUUCGGUGGAUGCCUUGGCGCUGAGAGGCGAUGAAGGACGUGCUACGCUGCGAUAAGCCGUGGGGAGCUGCGAAGAAGCUUUGAUCCAUGGAUUUCC